This 1093-nucleotide ribosomal RNA is filed under the name Escherichia coli. Its description in RNAcentral is "partial 23S ribosomal RNA". It matches the Rfam family "Bacterial large subunit ribosomal RNA", at positions 482 to 1578 of the family's 2925-position model. Lineage: Bacteria; Pseudomonadati; Pseudomonadota; Gammaproteobacteria; Enterobacterales; Enterobacteriaceae. The record is from RNAcentral.
GACCGAUAGUGAACCAGUACCGUGAGGGAAAGGCGAAAAGAACCCCGGCGAGGGGAGUGAAAAAGAACCUGAAACCGUGUACGUACAAGCAGUGGGAGCACGCUUAGGCGUGUGACUGCGUACCUUUUGUAUAAUGGGUCAGCGACUUAUAUUCUGUAGCAAGGUUAACCGAAUAGGGGAGCCGAAGGGAAACCGAGUCUUAACUGGGCGUUAAGUUGCAGGGUAUAGACCCGAAACCCGGUGAUCUAGCCAUGGGCAGGUUGAAGGUUGGGUAACACUAACUGGAGGACCGAACCGACUAAUGUUGAAAAAUUAGCGGAUGACUUGUGGCUGGGGGUGAAAGGCCAAUCAAACCGGGAGAUAGCUGGUUCUCCCCGAAAGCUAUUUAGGUAGCGCCUCGUGAAUUCAUCUCCGGGGGUAGAGCACUGUUUCGGCAAGGGGGUCAUCCCGACUUACCAACCCGAUGCAAACUGCGAAUACCGGAGAAUGUUAUCACGGGAGACACACGGCGGGUGCUAACGUCCGUCGUGAAGAGGGAAACAACCCAGACCGCCAGCUAAGGUCCCAAAGUCAUGGUUAAGUGGGAAACGAUGUGGGAAGGCCCAGACAGCCAGGAUGUUGGCUUAGAAGCAGCCAUCAUUUAAAGAAAGCGUAAUAGCUCACUGGUCGAGUCGGCCUGCGCGGAAGAUGUAACGGGGCUAAACCAUGCACCGAAGCUGCGGCAGCGACGCUGAUGCGUUGUUGGGUAGGGGAGCGUUCUGUAAGCCUGCGAAGGUGUGCUGUGAGGCAUGCUGGAGGUAUCAGAAGUGCGAAUGCUGACAUAAGUAACGAUAAAGCGGGUGAAAAGCCCGCUCGCCGGAAGACCAAGGGUUCCUGUCCAACGUUAAUCGGGGCAGGGUGAGUCGACCCCUAAGGCGAGGCCGAAAGGCGUAGUCGAUGGGAAACAGGUUAAUAUUCCUGUACUUGGUGUUACUGCGAAGGGGGGACGGAGAAGGCUAUGUUGGCCGGGCGACGGUUGUCCCGGUUUAAGCGUGUAGGCUGGUUUUCCAGGCAAAUCCGGAAAAUCAAGGCUGAGGCGUGAUGACGAGGCACU